Molecule: long non-coding RNA, 353 nt
Filed under: Gossypium raimondii (Peruvian cotton)
Lineage: Eukaryota; Viridiplantae; Streptophyta; Magnoliopsida; Malvales; Malvaceae
Description: long non-coding RNA (GRAI_LNC002587)
Source: RNAcentral
GGAAAAGGAAUUUCUUUGGACUUGAUUACACAUCAAUCUUUAAGUGGGAAUUGAGGUAUAUUAUAUGAGGAGCUGCAAAAGAAAAAGAGUUGUGAUUGAAUUUGUAAAGCGAAGGAAUAAAUUUUAUGAGUUCUUGACAUGUUAGUUUGAUGUAUUUUCCCAAAGUUGUUUUUUUUUUUUUUUUUAGAUUUCGUUUAAAUUUUAAGUCCGAUCAUGUUAGAUUUCUAAAUAGAGUAAAGCUCUUUUAAUGACUUUUUUUCAUCUACACAACUCAAAUUCAACCAUUCAACCCAAUAAAUAUAGGUAUAUUGAAUAUGAUUCUUAUAAAUCUAAAAUUAAAUAAAAUUCUUGAU